ACCACUCUCCUCCAAUUUCUCAUUUCCCUCCUCAUGUACAGCGUCGUUCUUGCCUUCCACCUCAGCACAAAACAUGCUGGGUCCAUCCUCCCCACCGGAACUUAUAGUGGCCUUAUCACACUCUACCGAUCUGUCUUUUAGAAUAGUGAAAUCUGCAACCGCGGGAGAAUUGCUACCACCAAUUUCGUCAGCAUCCUCAUCAAUGAUGAGCGAAUCAACUUCUUUUGAAGCACCAUCCUUGCUGACAUCUCUCUUGUGAUAAGUAUUGCUUUCAGAUAAUGAAUCAAUGUCAGGCACAGCAAAU
RNAcentral lists this long non-coding RNA (304 nucleotides) under Linum usitatissimum (flax). Its description in RNAcentral is "long non-coding RNA (LUSI_LNC000956)". Lineage: Eukaryota; Viridiplantae; Streptophyta; Magnoliopsida; Malpighiales; Linaceae. The record is from RNAcentral.